UUUUCUCCAAGGUAUUCAUGGAACACUUAUCCUGCUAGGCCUGAGGGAAGUGAGGAGGGGGCAAUCUGAUAAGUCUCCAUGCUCCUGGAGCACACCUUCUAGGCAGGCGGAGACCAAAAGGCAAAGGAAUGAACCCUUUGUUGCGUGCAGUUACACGCUGUGGAGAAAAAGUAAACCUGAAAGAGGAUGGGGAGUUGGUUAUAAUUUAAAAUAGCGUAGUCAAAGCAGACCUCACUGAGAAAGUGAUAUUUAAGUAAGGACCUGAAGGAGAGAUGAGGGAGCCAGGUGGACACUGUAGGUAGAGGGGAUCGCAAGUGCAGAGGCCCCGAGGCAAGAGUCCACUGGCAUGUGUGAAGAAGUGCGAGCAGGUGCAGCUGGAGGGAGCGGACAAGGAGAAGACAACUGAACGCCGGGUCUGAGGGACAGUGGGAAGACGGGCAGAGCAUGUAUAUUGUGUCUGGGUGUGCCCCAUGUAAGUGCUCCCCUAUCUUGCCAACAGUCUCUCGAUGAAGCCCAUCUGAAGAAUGGCUGACCAGAGGAGAGAUGAGGAACCCGGGUUCUUGAGGACGUUGAGCACCCAAAUCGGCUGAUCCUGGAGCUCAUUUCUUAUGUUCACUGAAGCUGGAGGUUCCGUUUCUUGCCUUCAGAGGCAUCCUAACACAAAUAAUUAUCUUCUUAGAACCCAAGCAUCUUCUCCAAGGGGUUAUCAUGGAAGGAGGAGCUGAGAUGUGCCUUCCCUGCGGGUAGCUAAAUACAGGCUUGCUGAAGUGCCUUUACAGCAGCCUGAGGGGCCUGGGCUGUGAUGUGCAGAGAAGAGCAAGGUGACCCUACUGCCAUGGCCAUCCCCAGCUCUCCUGGCUUGUAGAGGGUGUGUAUGAGGACUCAGGAGCCAGUUCCACGAGCCACAGGCCCCCUGUUC
Long non-coding RNA from Bubalus bubalis (water buffalo), 919 nucleotides. RefSeq lists it as uncharacterized. Lineage: Eukaryota; Metazoa; Chordata; Mammalia; Artiodactyla; Bovidae. The transcript is spliced from 2 exons. The record is from RefSeq and is a predicted model, not a curated record.